CUAUCUGGAAACACACGUAAAAUUCGAUUAGGCGAGAGAGUACAUGAGGGGUCAGCCAUGGGGGGUUGUCAACUUUCGCCACUGCUCCCGGGGCUAUCAAUCCACCACGCCAGGCAGGAGGGCAAUCUAAAGUUUUGAACCUGCACACAUCAAGGCUGAACACUGCACUGGAAGUGGGAGAAGAGAAUUUGGCAUUGACAGGGGACAACAUUUUAAAAAGGCAAACCAAUCAUUGCUCCUCUAUUGGCAGUCCAGUGAAGAUCCGCGAACCUUUCAGUUUAAUGACAACUAACAAGACAACAACAAGCUCUUGUUUGAAAACAUAAGAUGAAAAAUGCUCUUUGCUAAAAAACGUUCCCUUUUUUCCUGAGUUUUCAAUGCCGAAAAGAUAAUUCAUCACAGCAACAGAGAAAACCUCAGCCCCUCCCUUACGACUGCUAAACGCAUUAUAAAUAUUUCCUAAAUUACUUGCAAUGGCAAGCCUGCACAUACACAUUGGCUUCAACCCUCUGGAAGCCACCCAGCCGCAUACCCACCUCUGGAUCCCACCCUACAUCUUCUGGCUGAGACAUUGCUGCAAAGACGGGAACCACGCUGACCCUCUAGGAAAGCACCGGCAGCCCAGCUGGGACAGGCAGUAGCAGCCACCACUGUCCCAGUAAUCCUGUAGUAGCACUGCCCCACGUCUGCGACUGUGAGACAGUCACAGCUGAAACACAACAGGAAAAUCUCCCCUACAAUUGCAGGAAAACCCGCUCCACCUAACCGCCUCCGCCAGGAUCUGUGUUCCCUUAGCCAGCCCUUCGCCCUUCGCUCGGAGCAAAAUACCUCCUCUCCCUCCCAGGAGCCAGCCCCAGUAGGGUGAGAAGGCAAGGACAAAUGGAUUCUCUUGCUGAGCAUCCCAGCAAUCAACCCAAGGGUUGGGGUGGGACCCAAGUGAGGACACGCUCAGCCCUGGGGACAAUUAACCCAUUGCCGAGUGAGUGCCAGCAGUGCCAAGGCCUGUGACAGGAGGCUGACCUGGACUAGCCAAACCUGUCACCAGAAAAAUGAAUGCUACCAAAAUUGCUGUUUACCAGAAAGGCAGAACUCCGCACAAAAGACUCAUGCUCAACCAGUUCACUUUUUCUUUUUUUUUUUUUUUCAGUUUUCUUCAAAUGUUACUCAAAAACUUAACAACACAAAGUCCAGCAGGAGUUUACCAAAGGUGGGAACAGUCUGAAAGAGUAUGGCACCUGAGGGAAAGAUUUCUCUUCCUACAAACACCAUGGAGAUCGCACUUUCUGAAAUUCAGCGGGUGAAACACAAGAUGAUAGCAGUGCUUAAUUUUUGUUUGUUUGUCUAAAUUUGCAUGUAAGCAGCAAAUUGCAACAGAAAACUACAAACGCUUCAGCAAAGUGCCCAGGAGGAAUCCUGACUGAAGUCACACCAGACAUUUGGUCUCCAACAAAGGUGUUAAAAAUUCAUGCAAAGUAGAAACAGCAGGAAAAAAUUGCUUCCUCGUGUUUUCUGUUUUUCAUGUUGCAAUGCACUCUUUCAUACACUGGUAACACAACAAAGUGUAACAAAACAUACCUCAGACAUUUGAGCAUAAGGUUGCGAAUCCACACUGUCUUUGGUCUUUCUUCAAUGGAAGAGCCUGUGCUUUGUUCUCAUUGAAACAAUAAACAACUGUUGUGAUUAUUGAA
Columba livia (rock pigeon) is the source of this 1688-nucleotide long non-coding RNA. RefSeq lists it as uncharacterized. NCBI's taxonomy places the organism in Eukaryota, Metazoa, Chordata, Aves, Columbiformes, Columbidae. The record is from RefSeq and is a predicted model, not a curated record. The transcript is spliced from 3 exons.